RNAcentral lists this ribosomal RNA (253 nucleotides) under uncultured bacterium. RNAcentral describes it as "partial 16S ribosomal RNA". It matches the Rfam family "Bacterial small subunit ribosomal RNA", at positions 524 to 776 of the family's 1533-position model. The record is from RNAcentral.
UACAGGGGGGGCAAGCGUUGUUCGGAAUUACUGGGCGUAAAGGGCUCGUAGGCGGCCAACUAAGUCACACGUGAAAUCCCCAGGCUUAACCUGGGAACUGCGUGUGAUACUGGAUGGCUUGAAUUCGGGAGAGGGAUGCAGAAUUCCAGGUGUAGCGGUGAAAUGCGUAGAUAUCUGGAGGAACACCGGUGGCGAAGGCGGCAUCCUGGACCAACACUGACACUGAGGAGCGAAAGCCAGGGGAGCAAACGGG